RNAcentral lists this long non-coding RNA (478 nucleotides) under Monodelphis domestica (gray short-tailed opossum). RNAcentral describes it as "lncRNA (ENSMODG00000047945.1)". The record is from RNAcentral. Lineage: Eukaryota; Metazoa; Chordata; Mammalia; Didelphimorphia; Didelphidae.
GAUGUUUUCCCAGUGGGUGGGGGGCAGAGGGGACGGCAGGCUCUGCUGACAGAUGAUUCCUCUGCCCUCCACCCUCGUCCCCCAGAGAGCCCCAGGAGACGGGAAAGGUCCAGCAGAGGCCAAGGGCUCCAGAUGAGAUUCGCGGCAUUUUGCCCGAUUUCAAUCUAUCACACGUCCCCUGAGAGCUGUUCCUGAGCCUCCCACGCAUGCAGGACACGUACCGACUGAUAGCCCAGGGCAUGGCAACAUGCUUUUAGCGAACCUUCUCUUGUGUCCAGGCUCUCAGGGUGAGAUAGAAAAAGUGGAGACGGGCUCCUCGCCCUUGGGAGCUCGGCCGGCACUCCCCCCACAAGCCCAGAGCAAAGAGACGGUGGGAUUGUGCGGCAAAAACGAGUUCCGAAGAGAAUUGGGUUGGAGGCGCCAGACCCAGAUUGGUCUCGGCGUUGGGAUUCAGCUGUCGUGUGACCUUGGCCACUGA